Molecule: non-coding RNA, 308 nt
Organism: Sturnus vulgaris (Common starling)
Lineage: Eukaryota; Metazoa; Chordata; Aves; Passeriformes; Sturnidae
Source: RefSeq, a predicted model, not a curated record
UCACUGCAAUUAUUCAUACCAGUAAUUUUGCACAUGCAUCAAUGAUGAAGCACCAGAGCCUGUGGCAUAAAGUUGGUAUGAAGGCAUCUGCCCCCUGAUCAGGGAAACUCUGAAGCCACUCUCCCAUCAUGUGUUGCACAGGACAGUGCACUGAAGGGAGCUUUCCUGUAGCUCAGUAACACACAGACAGACGCCUGCAGUUUUCAUCCAUGAGUGCAAUCCACAAGCACACAACUCAACUCUGGGUGACUCCACACAAGAGAUUCACGUAUCUCAGAUGACUUAAUUAAAACACUCCAUGUAACCUA